UACGAAGGGGGCUAGCGUUGCUCGGAAUUAUUGGGCGUAAAGGGCGCGUAGGCGGCCUGGCAAGUGGAAGGUGAAAUCCCUCGGCUUAACCGAGGAACUGCCUUCCAAACUGCUUGGCUUGAGUCCGGGAGAGGUGAGUGGAAUUCCCAGUGUAGCGGUGAGAUGCGUAGAUAUUGGGAGGAACACCAGUGGCGAAGGCGGCUCACUGGACCGGAACUGACGCUGAUGCGCGAAAGCGUGGGGAGCAAACGGG
This 253-nucleotide ribosomal RNA is filed under the name uncultured bacterium. RNAcentral describes it as "partial 16S ribosomal RNA". It matches the Rfam family "Bacterial small subunit ribosomal RNA", at positions 524 to 776 of the family's 1533-position model. The record is from RNAcentral.